Molecule: long non-coding RNA, 466 nt
Filed under: Salmo salar (Atlantic salmon)
Lineage: Eukaryota; Metazoa; Chordata; Actinopteri; Salmoniformes; Salmonidae
Description: lncRNA (ENSSSAG00000085761.1)
Source: RNAcentral
GCUGAUGACAGUACUGUUGGCCUUGCCUGGCUGUAUGCACAGCAGAGCUGAUGACCGUACUGUUGGCCUUGCCUGGCUGUAUGCACAGCAGAGCUGAUGACAGUACUGUAGGCCUUGCCUGGCUGUAUGCACAGCAGGUGACAGUACUGUUGGCCUUGCCUGGCUGUAUGCACAGCUGAUGACCGUACUGUUGGCCUUGCCUGGCUGUAUGCACAGCAGGUGACAGUACUGUUGGCCUUGCCUGGCUGUAUGCACAGCAGAGCUGAUGACAGUACUGUUGGCCUUGCCUGGCUGUAUGCACAGCAGAGCUGAUUACAUUUACAUUUUGGUCAUUUAGCCGGCGCUGUAUGCCAGAGCGACUUACAGUAGUGAAUGCAUACAUUUCAUACAUUUUUUUCCUGUGCUGGCCCCGCUGGAUCGAACCCACAACCCUGGCGUUGCAAACACCUUGCUCUACCAGCUGUAG